GAUGAAGAACGCAGCGAAAUGCGAUAAGUAGUGUGAAUUGCAGAAUUCAGUGAAUCAUCGAAUCUUUGAACGCACAUUGCGCCCUUUGGUAUUCCUUAGGGCAUGCCUGUUCGAGCGUCAUUUAAACCUUCAAGCUCAGCUUGGUGUUGGGUGACUGUCCGCUUCACCGCGGACUCGCCUCAAAAUUAUUGGCGGCCGGUACAUUGGCUUCGAGCCCAGCAGAAACGCGAACUCGGGCCCGUCGUAUUGGCUCCCAGAAGCUAUCUUCACAAUUUUGACCUCGGAUCAGGUAGGGAUACCCGCUGAACUUAAGCAUAUCAAUAAGCGGAGGA
Molecule: unclassified non-coding RNA, 332 nt
Filed under: soil metagenome
Description: partial contains 5.8S ribosomal RNA, internal transcribed spacer 2, and large subunit ribosomal RNA
Rfam family: 5.8S ribosomal RNA (bases 1-120)
Source: RNAcentral